GGGGGCGUCCGCGCGGGGGAGCGCCGAAACUUGGAGCCCGAGCUCCCGGGCUGGAGGCGAGCCGGCCUCGGGGACGUCACAGCGCUGGAAUCCGAGGAAUGCCGGGCGGCAGGAGCUCCGUGUGCAGGCCCGGGAGCAGUCGCGCACUUUUGGAGCGGUGGCUUGGGGAACUGUUUAAAGCCCUUUCUUGGGUUGAAAAGGGUCCUUGGAGUCGUUGUCACAGAAGAUGUCCCAGAUUGCUUCAGUGUCCCACAUCUCAUACAAAAAUCCGGAGCUCUCAGGGAAGAGAACUGGGAACUAAAAAGCAAAACCUACUGUGCUCAUCAUGUACCAAUUUGUGGUGACUUGACUUCUCUGAGUAUUUGCCAACCACCGGAACAGUGAAGUCAAGAAGCCCCCACACAGGGGCGGAAGGAAAAGGCUGAAGAAAAUUGAAGUCAGUUUCUCAAACUUUCAAGGAGAUAGCUGGAUGGCUUCAGUAUGGACUUGCUAGAUUUCCAAAGAAAAUUUCCGAAUGCUUUGCUGUGCUCCAGGAAGUAUGAAAAGCACUGUAUGUGCCCCCGUGUGAUUACCCCAUUUCCUAGACGAGAAAAGCGAGGAGUGAAGAAAUCACCUGUCUCACCAAGGUUCACAACAGCUAGUGAACUAGGAUAAUGGACCCUUGUCUGGCCCCAAAAUUGCAAGCUCUUAAACUCUUCAAAAUUUCACCAACAUAGGAUUCACAUUAAAAAUAAGUAAAUCCCUGCAGGCUCUCAAAGUGAUACAGAGGAGAGGCCUCUUGGGGUCUUGGAGGAAAGGAAAUGGCAUUUGUGUAUUGCCCCUCUGUGAUACCCAACUCUGAGCACAGAAUGCCGAGACAGCAGUGGUAUGGAGGCACAAAGGUUGCAUGUAGACAUACGAUUCUGGUUCUGCCUCUGACCAGCCAGGUGACCCUGAACAAGCCACUUCACCCUGAGGCCUAAGUUUAUUUUUUAAGUGGAGUGUGACAUGGAGGUCAGAGUUUGGUUGAAUUACUUCAUCUCUGAGGUCUUUCCCAGGUCUGACCUUGAAUGAAUGUAUGGUCCUCCAGGCAGACCGCAUGCCUAUGGAGGAAGCUAAGUGAUAAAGCCAGGAUGUCUCAGGGAGAGAACUGUUUUCACACUGCCUUCGGAAUCAGAAUGAAUGUGGGGGGUGUUGCGGGGUGGGGUGUUCACAGGCAAAAUACACACAUACACACACACACACACACACACACACACACACACACAACUCACACACUAAGAUUUAGCACUAAGCCUGCAGACUCCAUUUAAAUAAUUUUACUCCUAAAAAUUAAAAAAAAUAUUAUUAAUU
Long non-coding RNA from Herpailurus yagouaroundi (jaguarundi), 1332 nucleotides. RefSeq lists it as uncharacterized. The transcript has 2 exons. NCBI's taxonomy places the organism in Eukaryota, Metazoa, Chordata, Mammalia, Carnivora, Felidae. The record is from RefSeq and is a predicted model, not a curated record.